Molecule: long non-coding RNA, 840 nt
Filed under: Pan troglodytes (chimpanzee)
Lineage: Eukaryota; Metazoa; Chordata; Mammalia; Primates; Hominidae
Description: long non-coding RNA NONPTRT010447
Source: RNAcentral
CUUUCUCCAUCUUGCGGAAUAGGGUCAAAAGGAUUGAUACCAAUUCUUUAAACAUCUGGUAGAAUUCUGCUGUGAAUCCAUCUGGUCCUGGGCUUUUUUUGCUGUUGUUGGUAAUUUUUAAAUUACUGUUUCAAUCUUGCUACUGGUAAUUGGUCUGUUCAGGGUAUCUAAUUGUUUCUGAUUUAAGCUAGGAGGGUUGCCUCCACCAAGAUGUCAUUAUUGGGAGCCCGUGGCUGGGGCACUUUUUCCCACUUUGACUCGUUACUUUUCUACUCCUAACCCUUCCGUCUAUCUUUCCCCCAGCUCCAUGGAGCCAUAAAAUGGCAGAAUAUUUUGUCCAGGAUUCCUCUGCAGUGAGAUGAUUCCCUCCACCUGAUCUGUAUGCCACCUGACCCUCACCUUGUAUCAUUCUGUGAGAAAAAAGGAACACCAAAGAUGAUUUGUUGGUUUUCCAGUGCAAGAGUGAUCCCUCCUUCAUUUUUACCAAAAAGAGAUUUCCUCCAUUUCUGCACUUUUUGCCCUCUGGAAUUUCAUUUGCAAGGGCAGAUAAGGGGAAAAGAAUGUAAUAAGAGAUGAGGAAAAAAAUAAGCCCUUGCUGAAUGAUUGAUAUGAAUGAAGGAACUGAUGGAAUAAAUAACAAAAAUAAGAAGAUCCAGGACUACUCUCAGUCUCUGAAGCAGGUGGGAGCCCUGGCGGUAGCUAUGGAUCCAGUUCAAAGGAAUAUGAAAGGCACUGCUUUCCCAUCAAAAAGAAAUAUUCAUCCACAUAUUGAAAUUUCUUCCAUCACUUUACAUCAAGAAGAUUGAAAGCCCAAGUAAAUGACAUGACAAUGAAAAUGGA